UACGUAGGGAGCAAGCGUUGUCCGGAAUCAUUGGGCGUAAAGCGCGCGUAGGCGGCCCUGUAAGUCCGCUGUGAAAGUCAAAGGCUCAACCUUUGAAAGCCGGUGGAUACUGCAGGGCUAGAGUCCGGAAGAGGCGAGUGGAAUUCCUGGUGUAGCGGUGGAAUGCGCAGAUAUCAGGAGGAACACCAAUAGCGAAGGCAGCUCGCUGGGACGGUACUGACGCUAAGGCGCGAAAGCUAGGGGAGCAAACAGG
RNAcentral lists this ribosomal RNA (253 nucleotides) under uncultured bacterium. Its description in RNAcentral is "partial 16S ribosomal RNA". It matches the Rfam family "Bacterial small subunit ribosomal RNA", at positions 524 to 776 of the family's 1533-position model. The record is from RNAcentral.